GGCGAGUUGGUCUAAUGGUAGGAUUAGGGUCUCAUAAACCUUAGAUUUACGUUCAAGUCGUAAGCUCGCACCCA
This 74-nucleotide transfer RNA is filed under the name Caudoviricetes sp. RNAcentral describes it as "tRNA-Met". It matches the Rfam family "tRNA". From Rfam's summary of the family: Transfer RNA (tRNA) molecules are approximately 80 nucleotides in length. Their secondary structure includes four short double-helical elements and three loops (D, anti-codon, and T loops). Lineage: Duplodnaviria; Heunggongvirae; Uroviricota; Caudoviricetes. The record is from RNAcentral.